ACGAUUCGUCGAAGCAAUUCGGCGAAUAGUGGCAGAAGGGUUAGUAAUACGUGGGUAAUCAACCCCUAGGUUAAGGAUAACUUCGCGAAAGCGAGGCUAAUACUGAAUAAUAUCCUGUUGUUGCAUGAUGACGGGAUCAAAGGUGGCUCGUAAGGGCUGCCGCCAAAGGACGAGCCCGCGACCUAUCAGCUAGUUGGUGAGGUAAUGGCUCACCAAGGCUUUUGACGGGUAGCUGGUCUGAGAGGAUGGUC
Molecule: ribosomal RNA, 251 nt
Filed under: uncultured bacterium
Lineage: Bacteria
Description: partial 16S ribosomal RNA
Rfam family: Bacterial small subunit ribosomal RNA
Source: RNAcentral